Molecule: ribosomal RNA, 1910 nt
Filed under: Halorientalis regularis
Lineage: Archaea; Methanobacteriati; Methanobacteriota; Halobacteria; Halobacteriales; Haloarculaceae
Description: bacterial LSU rRNA
Rfam family: Archaeal large subunit ribosomal RNA
Source: RNAcentral
GCUACUAUGCCUCUUGGUGGAUGGCUCGGCUCGAGCGCCGACGAAGGACGUGCCAAGCUGCGAUAAGCCUGAGGGAGCCGCACGGAGGCGAAGAACUCAGGAUUUCCGAAUGGGAAUCCCCACCGCAAUUGCUUCGCGCAAUGGGGAACGCCGGGAAUUGAAACAUCUCAGUACCGGCAGGAAGAGAAAACGAAUGUGAUGUCGUCAGUAACCGCGAGUGAACGCGACACAGCCCAAACCGAAGCCCUCACGGGCAAUGUGGUGUUUGGACUGACACUCAUCGUCUGACGGUCUUCACGAAGUCUCCUGGAACGGAGCGUGAAACAGGGUGACAACCCCGUAGUGAAGACCAGUACGACGUGCGUCAGCUCCGGAGUAUCGGGGGUUGGAAAUCCCUCGUGAACAUGGCAGGCAUCUACUGCUAAGGCUAAAUACGACUCGAGACCGAUAGUGGAAAAGUAGCGUGAGCGAACGCUGCAAAGCACCCUCAGAAGGGAGGUGCAAUAGGGCCUGAAAUCAAGUGGCGAUGGAGCGACGGGGCAUGAAAGGCCUCACCAGAAACGACCGAAGAGCGAUCUUCCAGUAGGACUGGCGAGGAGCCGAUGUUCCGUCGUACGUUUUGAAAAACGAACCAGGGAGUGUGUCUACGAGGCGAGUCUAACCCGGUCAUCGGGGAAGGCACAGGGAAACCGACAUGGCCGCAGUGCUUUGCACCAGGGCCGCCGUGUUCAAGCGCGGGGAGUCUCGUGGGUACGACCCGAAACCGGAUGAUCUACGCGUGGGCAAGGUGAAGCGUACCGAAAGGCACGUGGAAGCCUGUUAGGGAUGGUGUCCUACAAUACCCUCCCGUGACCUACGUGUAGGGGUGAAAGGCCCAUCGAAUCCGGCAACAGCUGGUUCCGACCGAAACAUGUCGAAGCAUGACCUCCGCCGAGGUAGUUCGUGAGGUAGAGCGACCGAUUGCCGUGUCCGCCCUCGAGAGAGGUCGGCGCGGCUGUCAAACUCCAAACUUACGGACGCUGUCGACGCGGGGAGUCCGGUAUGCGGGGUAAGCCUGUGUACCGUGAGGGAGACAACCCAGAGCUGGGUUAAGGUCCCAAAGUGUGGAUUAAGUGCGAUCGAAGGUGGUCUCAAGCCCUAAACAGCCGGGAGGUGAGCUUAGAAGCAGCUACCCUCUAAGAAAAGCGUAACAGCUUACCGGCCGAGGUUUGAGGCGCCCAAAAUGAUCGGGGCUCAAAUCCACCACCGAAACCUGGCCGCAGGAGUCACAUCCUGACCGCGUAGGUCGGCGAUCCGAUUGGGUGGAAGCACGGGCGAGAGUUCGUGUGGACCGAUUGGAUACGAAAAUCCUGGUCACAGUAGCAGCGAUAGUCGGGUAAGAAUCCCGACGGCCUUACGAGCAAGGGUUCCUCGGCACUGUUCGUCAACCGAGGGUUAGUCGGUCCUAAGUCACACCGUAACUCGAAUGUGACAAAAGGGAAGCUGGUUAAUAUUCCAGCACCAUCACACACUCAAAGUCGACGCUUUGGGGCAAUCCGGUCCGGGCCAUCGCCCGGACGAAUCAUCGAACCUCGUGGAAGCCGUAAUGGCACGAAGCGAGCGAAGGGUGAGAUAGCGCAAGCCGGACGUACCUAGAGCCCGUGAAAAGACGAGUGUGAUGUCCGUACCGAGAUCCGACACAGGUGCUCGUGGCGGCGAAAGCCAAGGCCUGUCGGGGACAAUCGACGUUAGGGAAUUCGGCAAUCUAGUCCCGUACCUUCGGAAGAAGGGAUGCCUGCCUCGGAAAGAGGCAGGUCGCAGUGACUCGGGGGCUCGGACUGUCUAGUAACAACAUAGGUGACCGCAAAUCCGCAAGGACUCGUACGGUCACUGAAUCCUGCCCAGUGCGGGUAUCUGAACACCUAGUACAA